CCUACGGGGUGCAGCAGUGGGGAAUAUUGCACAAUGGGCGCAAGCCUGAUGCAGCCAUGCCGCGUGUGUGAAGAAGGCCUUCGGGUUGUAAAGCACUUUCAGCGGGGAGGAAGGCGUUAAGGUUAAUAACCUUGGCGAUUGACGUUACCCGCAGAAGAAGCACCGGCUAACUCCGUGCCAGCAGCCGCGGUAAUACGGAGGGUGCAAGCGUUAAUCGGAAUUACUGGGCGUAAAGCGCACGCAGGCGGUCUGUCAAGUCGGAUGUGAAAUCCCCGGGCUCAACCUGGGAACUGCAUUCGAAACUGGCAGGCUAGAGUCUUGUAGAGGGGGGUAGAAUUCCAGGUGUAGCGGUGAAAUGCGUAGAGAUCUGGAGGAAUACCGGUGGCGAAGGCGGCCCCCUGGACAAAGACUGACGCUCAGGUGCGAAAGCGUGGGAGCAAACAGGAUUAGAUACCCUUGUAGUC
Molecule: ribosomal RNA, 464 nt
Filed under: uncultured Klebsiella sp.
Lineage: Bacteria; Pseudomonadati; Pseudomonadota; Gammaproteobacteria; Enterobacterales; Enterobacteriaceae
Description: bacterial SSU rRNA
Rfam family: Bacterial small subunit ribosomal RNA
Source: RNAcentral